Non-coding RNA from Podarcis lilfordi (Lilford's wall lizard), 5567 nucleotides. The record is from the annotation of a GenBank genome assembly. NCBI's taxonomy places the organism in Eukaryota, Metazoa, Chordata, Lepidosauria, Squamata, Lacertidae.
UAUUCUUCAUGUACAAAAUAAAACUCCACCAGACAUUUUAAACAGCAUCCACUAUAGUUGUGCCUUGCAAUGUUUGAAGAUGGAGUGUAACUUUUUCCAAAAUAACAACAUUCCAAACAGUCUUGUACCAAAGAAUAAGCUUGAAGUCCUGUCAUGUUUUCCAUUUCUGAGUGAUGGACAAGUGUGCAGCAACCAUAAAAAAUAUUACUAGAUCUUUUAAUGUAACCAUUUUAUUAUUAUGUCCAAAAACAGGAGAGGAAGAAGUGGGGACAACUGAAUUGACUCCUUAGUAACUGAAGCAAUUUCUUUGAAAACCAAGAACCAAAACAUACAUACCUGUAGGUGGAAGUACAUUUCCCUAGCAUCACAGGCCUAUUAGAAUUAGGUUGACCAUUCAGAGAAAUUUAUGUACUUUAAGAGCAGUUUGGCAAGGGAACCAAUGACCUAGAAGGGUUGUGGGCUCUCCCUUCCUGAAGAACUUCAAGUAGAGGUUGGACAGUCAUGUGUUCAUGACACUCUAGCUCCGGAUUUCCUGCAUCAAGCCUCUCCAACUCUAUGAUUCUAUGAUUCCAAUCAGCUUGUCAAAUAACUGACCUUGAAAUGACCUGUGUAUAAUAGGCAGACAUUUACUUUUGGUUAAAACCAGUAAUCUAUCUAAGAACAGUCUUAUUAACAUCUCUCUCUUCUCCCUGACAUCUCUCACUCUAUUCCUCCGAUUCAGGGACUCCUGCCUACAGAGUAAUCUCAUAUUAUGCUGGCCUUCUUCGCAUGGAUGGCUUUUUAUGGUUAUCCAGUAUGAAAAGGCAUCCUGCAGCUUCUAAAAAAUGGAAAACAUAAGUUACUGAAGCUCCUCUAUGUCAGCUGACAGGGGAGGGAGUUGGCACAUUCAUUUAAAGAGGAAGCAGUUUAUGUCCAAUAAUUGCUUAAAAAACAGCUCUCAUGCCCUCUCAUCUGAACAAUUACCUGCUUAUCCCGGAUAUCUUAGAACAGACUUUAGUAACUUGGUGAGUAAAGGAUACCAAUGGUUGAAAUAUAUGUGGUCAGAGCAGGUGUGCCGGCUGCUAUAAUUUGUGACAGCAUUCCUAUGUAUUGUUUUUAGAAUUGGGGGUGGGUUGUGUUGUCUAAAUGGAAAAUGAGGGUUUAGGACUUAUGGGUAUCACCAAGGUCUCACCUUUGAGCACAAAAAGGAAUUCCAGACAUGAUGAGAGACAUUCAUUUCUUUAUAUGAGCUGCCCACAAAAUUAACUCUUGCCUUUAGUAAUGGACCACCCAGCAAAGGUGCUUGGAUCUAUCUAUAGAGGAAUAUUCUCUCAAGUCAAUAAAUCCUGAGAACGGUGCUCAGUAACGAGACUGUCAACUGAUCCGAGUUUGAAGAGCAGUGAUGAUUUUAUGGGUUUACCCCUGAGCAGCUCAAGUAACUGCUGACAAUUUCCUUGCUGCCGCAAACCAGUUGUCAGUGGAUAAGGCCAAUAAUAUACAUUAAGGUCUGGAGAAAGAGGAAAUGACACAAUCUGUGCAGGGACCUUCUUGUCCUUUUGCACAAAGGCAGUGUGGUUAGCAACAGAGGGUGAGACAACACUGCACAGGCAGCAAAAGGUUCAUUAGGUUUUUGAGUAUGCAAUCCCAGCUUUCUCCCACAGAGUAGUGAGGUCAGCCUUCAUGGCUAAAGCCAUGAGAAAUAAAUCUUGAGCCAAGGGAGAUGGCUCCUAGCUUCUGGAUCCAGGGGAAAACGACAUCCUGUUCUUUGCACAGUGUUCAUUUUAAACGCCUCUGUGGGCUCAUCACUUGAGCCAAGAGAGAAACUCUUGACUGAGCACUAGGUGCAUUUUAGGGAAAUGAGAUGUUGACACCCCCUCUCCCCAAUAAAAAAGGGAAAUGAAUCUUGCCAGCUUUCAUUUGCGGCUGCUUUCUGCCUGUCUGAAAGAAGUUUAAAGCAAGUACUCAAAACUUUUUUUAAAAAAAAAACAUGCUUUUAAGUGGAGCAUUAUGGCCUAACUGUGCAUGAUGCUGACUGCAUUGCUGCCAACCAUAUCGGCUUAUUUAAGAGUUGGUUUAUUUGAAACAACCUCCUGCCCCAGUUUUAUCAGGACCACAACAUACAGGAAGCAUAGGAUUUCUCCUUUCCUCGCUAUCUAUUGGCUCUGCAAAAGUCCCCCCCCCCCCCCGCAGCAAUGGGAACUUUUCAAUGAUUAUGAAUUGCCAUGUGAGACGAGUCACAAUUUUCCUUAAUAUCACAAAAUGGGGGAAAGAAGGGUAAUACUUUCUCUAAAUCCCAGCAUGCUGUGAUCAUUAUAAAAAUCCUCCUUCUCCUGUGCUUACUAUUAGAUACAUUAAAACCUAUGCUGCGAUUGGCACUGACACAUUUAGCAUCACAUGUUUUCAAGCCCAAAAAAUGUGGGGCAAUAUUCAUAUUUCUAGGGGUACCCCUGGCAUCUUAGGUCAGAAACUAAUUUCUCUUAUCAUGUCUUCUGCCAAGGAAUUGGCAGUGCUGUCUGCUCCAUUCUUUGUAUUGCCACCAUCCCAAAUUAGUGAGAAUAAAUGCCUGAUCUACAGGGUUGUGCAAAGAAUUAAUGCAUUUCUUGUUUGAGAACGUGCUUGGAUAAUAUGACAUUUCCCAGGCUGAAAUCAGCCAGAAGGUUGAAAGCACUUUGUUGGUAUAAACUAAGCACAGGAUUUCAGGUCAGUGCCAAGCAAGGGUGGGUGAACUAUACUGACCUCAAAAACUAUCAGGAGGGCUGCUAGCAAACAACAGUCCAUUCCAACAAUUGGGCCUUCCUGGUUUGAUGAGGUGAAAGCUCCAUCUUCACCUAUAACCAUCUCCAUCAGUGGCCAGCCCAAUGAUCCCGAGGUGAGAAGCUUACAAACAAGGCAAUAUGUUGAUGGAUCCUGCACAAUUUAAAAAAUAAAAGCCACGUAUUUUUAUGUAUUGAAAUGCCCCGACCAAUGCAAGCUUGACAGUGCCUUUGUUCCCUUUGAGGAAAAUGAGAAGCUCCAUUAAAAGACUGUUUCAAGGCACACAGCAGCUGACCAGAGCAGGGGACAGAAAUGGAAUCAAGUGCCGAGGGUUGGAAUGCUGUUGACGGCUGGAAGGAACACGACUGGGAUCGAAAGCCAGCCGAUGAGUCAGACCAGGUCACAAGCGAUGUAAUCUGAGCUAGCCCAGACGCUGUGAGGUCAGACCUCACGCCAAGGUCGGAAAGCCAAACCAUGUCAAGAAGGCAACAGGAGACAGAGCCAAGCGAGAAGUGGGAGCCAGGAAAAUGGAAAGAGGGCUGAGACAACGCAGAACAGGAUCGGAAGGCAAUAGUGAGGCAGAGAACAUAAACUUGGGCAAGAGGAUGGGCAACAGAUGAGGCCACAGCUGCAAUUUACCAGUUUGCUGCAGGCCCGGUUUCAAAGUUCUUGUGUUAAUUCAUGAAGCCCUAAGCUGCUUCAUGGAUCACCUGAUGCCUUCUGCUGUUCCUCAGUCACUGAGAGCAUCCGAUGGAGCACUUUCAAUGGCACCGUCCAUGUUCCUGAGGUUCACUCAAACUGCCCCAGGGACUGGUGCCUGUAGCAUGGCAGGCCCUGCUCCAUGGAACUCCUUGCCCGUAGAGCUCCAGCAGGAAUAAUCUCUGCCUUCUUUUGACAUCUUUUGAAAACUGUAUUAUUCAGGCAGGCUUUUGAAAUGGGAAUUUCUUUUUACCAAACAGUAUUUAUCAGUUGUUUUAUUGAUCUUGUUGUACAACAUAAAGACAACAUUACAUCACCUUCCUGGCCUAAGAACAGUUAAUUAAAUCCUAUGCACACUUACCCUGUGAGUAAGCCCCGUAGAUCAUAGUGGGACUUACUUCCAAGCAAGCAUGCAUAGAGAUGGGGCUGCACAAACUUGAUCCCACAGCCACUUAGUUUCACUCAACAAGGCUGUUUAUAUAGUGGCCCAUGGCCUCCCAAGCAUGGAUUGUGAUUCAAGUAACCAUAAAAGCUGUGGUGAUAGAGUAACAUCCUUUGUGCUGAGGAAUGGCCUACCCAAGUCUGAAAUUAGCUCCUUCCCAGAAGAAAUCUAGCAUGGUCCUCUUGUUCCUGAGGUAAGAUAUGACCUGCCUUGGGUGGCUUUGGGCCUAUACUGCUCUUACUAUGAAGUAAUGAGUGUAAACUUCUAAAAAACAAAGUGUAAUCUUUUAUAAUAUCUAAACUUUUUGAGAUAUUAAGAUGAUUUUUGGAGUUUCAGGCUAUGAAAUAAACCAUUCAGAAUGGGAAUAAAUGAAUUACAGGCAACUAAUGAAAAUUAGCGAAGAAAUAUAGAAUUAAAUAGGCUGAUAAAUGAAUGUCAUAUUUGGGAAUUUGGUUAAUAUCAAAUCUUAAUGAGUUGUUUAUUUAGGAACUAUUACAGCAGGCAUUGGCAAAAACCCUUAAGAAAGGAUUCCAGACUGAAUUGUCCUGGUUAGGAAAAAUUGCAUUUAAAAUUAAAGCUGUGAAAGGGUACACUGUUUGUUUAAAAAUGUCACUGCAAAGAUUGAUAAAACCAUGCUGCAGAAGUGGCAAAAAAUGCCACAAAAAUUUCUGUGGGACAGCCAAAGAUCUUGAAUUCCCAUGACAACCUUAGAGAAAAGUUUUAAGGAAAGAGGAGUACAAAAUAUUUUAUAAUAAUAAUUUAAAAAAUAAAAUUCUCACAGAUAUUUAACCUGAGCGGAGGCUGCGUCAUCCUCAGAGCUUCAUUUAGAAGCUACAUAGAGAAGCAGUCCCUUAUACAUAUGUAUUAUAUGCACACAGGAGCCAAAAUAACAGCCUAACCUAUGCAUUCCAGAAGAUAGAUGGAAGCAGGUCAGCAGUAGCGCUAGAAAGACAAGUUCCAUUAGAAAAGUUGACACUAGCAGAGCUAAUGAAGAUUCUGGUAUCUGUUUUUGCACAGGAUACAAAAUAUCAAGUAACUGGAUUACAGAAACAUAGCAGUGAUCAUGUAUUUCGUUUUUCUGUCUUUUCACGACAAGGUAAUUACAUUUGCAGUUUAAUAGUAACAGUGUUUGAUGGCUGGGAUGGGUUGGUGGAGGCCAUGUGAUUAUUCCCCUGCUGUUUCUUUUUGCUUUAAGUAUGUCUGCUUCAUUCUAUUCCUCCACAACAGAAGAAGUAGCCACCUAUUUUCCCUCACUGUCAGCUCUAGAGCAAACCCUUUUCAUCGGACUCUUGCUGGACUUUCAAGUUAGUAAGGCCAGUUUUAUUCAGAUUUCCCACCAACCCCCAUGGAAUUUUAUUUUGAAAUGAAGUUAAAAAUAAGAGCACAACAACAAUAACACACAUGCAGCAAUACAGUAAGAUCUCCAAAGAAACGAAGAAACUGACUGAUUAAAGUCCUUAACAUAUCACGCUUGUGGGGUGGGACAAUUGGAAUAAAAUAACUUCAAGCAGUAGUUGGGAACCUCUGGCCCAUGGGCAUAAAUCAGUCCAACAAAAGGCUUAAUUUCACCAGUGAGGUUGUUUCCCCCGAAUUAAUAAUAAUAAUAAUAAUAAUAAUAAUAAUAGUAUUAUUUAUACCCCACCCAUCCGGCUAGGUUUCCCCUGCCACUCCCAGUGGCUCCCAGCAGAAUAGC